Non-coding RNA from Zonotrichia albicollis (white-throated sparrow), 2584 nucleotides. The record is from RefSeq and is a predicted model, not a curated record. NCBI's taxonomy places the organism in Eukaryota, Metazoa, Chordata, Aves, Passeriformes, Passerellidae.
CAAAAAGGAGGACACAACACGUGAGUGAUUCCUUCAGCGUUCCCUCUGUACAGGACACCUGGAAACUUGGUGAGCUGGAAGAAAGAUGAGAGGGCCUCUGCAGGAGCAGCAGCUGCCUGACCUACAUUUCAGUAGGGAUUACAGAACCCAGCUGCUCCAGCUGGCGUGUGCAGAGAAUGGAACCCCUUACAUGAGCUUUGCUGGGAGCUCCUCCUUUCCCUGACUUUAUCACCAUGACAUCACCAAAACGCACCACAUGGUCAUUAUUAAGCUGACAAGACACUACAGUCUGAAACCAAACUGCAACAGAACAAAGAAAAAGAAAUCAAACAGAAGAAAACAAUCCCAGCUGAAUACCACUCACUCCCCACUCCUUUCUGUGCAAGUGCUCUCUAUUGCUUGUCUGUUUUCACCUAACAGCGUUCCUCUUAUAUUAAUUUUAUCCCAUUUCCAGUGCUAUGUGAAGCCUGAAUUUCUACUUUGUACCAACAAGCUGGUAUCUACAAUAAUUCUAGUAUUUUACUAAAAUUUUAGCUAUUCUUCAAUGAGUUCACUUUCAAAAACUGCCAUCAUAACUUUGGCUACACAACUGAAGUUGAAACAAGCAACCAAGCACAGACACCCAGAGAUGGUGACAGGGUCUGCUUGCUUUUAUUUAGCUAGGAAAAAUCUGUAGGCAUCCUAAAAAUUUGACAAUGGGUUUCAGCUGGAGAAACUGGAAGUGUAGAAUACUGAUUCCCUGCAAUCAGCCCAGUUCCUGUACUGGGCUCUAUGUUUCAUAGUCUAGAAUAUCCCUUCGGCCAGCUCAGGCCAGCUGCUCCCUCCCAGCCUCCUGUGCCUCUCCUCACUGGCACAGCAUGAAACACUGAAAAGAUUGUACACUCACUCCUUUGGCCAGCAGGUUUUGCCCUGCAUGUUGUUAAGUAGGAAAUACUUUCACUGAAAUAUAAGCCACUAACAGACACCUACAAUCAAAGUAAAUUUUUUAUUUCCACAAGUGAUACAGACUCAGAAAAACUGCAAUUAAACAACAACAAAAUAAUUAGGGGUAAAACCUGCAGUCUCACAAACCUCUGUACUAUCCUCCUCUCUGUUCAGCUCCUCACUCCCACAGAUCAGGAUGAAUUCAUCUCCUGUCCACACCACAUCACAACACACUAGACCAUGUCUGUGGUGUGACACUAGACCAUGUCUGUGUGCAAGAAAGAACAGGGACACACACCACUGAUAGCAGCUCUGCUCUUAACAUUCCAGUGGAAGUGCACACAUGCACUGACUCACUCAGCAUGAGGCACAUACAAAAAUAUUCCAAAACCACACUGUGCUGCUGAGGAUUUGUGAGCUCUGGUGAUUGUAGAAAAAAUAACCACCAACAAGGGCUACACAUGGCCUGAAUUCCCCUGAAGUCACACAGUGUGCACUUGUAAAAGCCAAGAGGCUUUGAGCCAUGACUCAGCAGCCCACGGAGGGGAGAAUGGAGCCACCUGUAGUCGUGGGGACAGUGGGGACAGAGAGUGCCCUGAAAUUACAACCAUGCUGACACUUCUAAAUACAUACUCACACUGGAGAUCUGCUUCUCACAAAAUACAGGCAAGAUACACAUCCAGAGGGUAAUAUGGAGGAUAAACUGCUUUGGAGAGGGUAAGGAAAUGAAGGGAUGGUUACACAAGGAACAUGGGCCAUCCUCCUAAUUUCAAAUACCUUGUUAGUAAGUGUAGCAACACUACACCACAGCCUGCCUUCAGCAGGAGGGCCAAAGGGACUCAAGAGUUUCAUUGUUCCUUUUCUCAUGCAAACUGUGCUGACCUCAAAAGAGUUAUCAGCUGCUGGCUCCCUAUAAAUCAGAGCCUUAUGCAGCCUGGCUGAUUCCUUUCUGUCUUUACAGACAAUUUACCUUCCGUGUCAGUGCCUCAGGGCCACAGCUCCCCAGCCUUGGACAGACACAUCUCCCUGGCUGGGAGGGCUGGGGCAGAGCUGACACACUGGCAAUUCCAGCACCUUUUCGUUAAAAGCUUAUGAAGCUUUAAUUGAAAAUUUAGACAGUAAUAGGCAUUAUUUAGGAUCCAUGAUUAAUAUUUCUUGAGCUGAAUUAAGAUUUAAUACAUAAAGUCAAGCGGAUAAAGCUGGGAUUUUGUGCUGGUUCAGUUGAGGUUUGCACUUUGGUGGGGUUUUUUUUUCUUUUUAAAGCAGCUGUGAUAAAAACUGAAUUACAUUUAGGACAAUUCUCUUGAUUCAUCUACAGAUGUGACCCAGAAGCAAAUCUCCAACAGGCAGAUUAUUUCAGGACAGGAUGGAACAUGUGGAAGGAUUUUUAAUAACCUGAGGAGGCCUUAUGUAAGCCCUACACUUUAGAUUUAAUAGAGACCAACAAUUGCUUCUGAUGCAGCAGCAUUCAGCCCGGGAGGAGUCAGGGAGAGCAAAGAGGCAGCGGAGAUGUGUACAGAAGGUUGACCUUCAAUUCUACAAGCAUCUUAGAAGUCCAAGUCACAAACUUGAAAAGGACAGAAGUUGUCAGAGACCAGGCAAGUGUUUUUCUGUUAGUUGAAAUUGUGUUUUAAUUGGUUAUAUGUGCAGGACUGUUAAA